UGCUAAUGGGUGUGUUUUAGUGCUCUGAAGUUAAUUUUUAAUGGUUGGUGAGUACCUUCAGACAAUAGGAUUGGACUAGAUGAAGCAGAAUUAAUUAUACAGCCUUCCACUAGUCACUAAAGAUUAUUAGUAUAUAUUAUGCAUUCUAUGUCAUAAUUGUUUCUUGCUUUAGUUUGAUGGCAUUACUUGAGAAAGAUUAAAUCUGUAUUGUUACUACACUUUACAAAAUUCCCCCUUUUUUUUCCAGCUAGGUUUUCUGUUAUCUUUCUGUAAAUCACAUAGCUUGAUAUCAGAGAUAUUAAAAAUAAGAUUGCUGGAACACUAUCUUUUUUAGUGUUCUUUCUUAUUCCCAGUUAUAACUUAGAGUAGAAAGACAUUCCAGAAGCAAACAUUUGACUGGUUUUCUCGCUCUGCCUCAGUCCCUAAUCCCUGCACGAUCUGUUCCUUCGGGGAAGCUCAUCUUAGUCACUCUUUCUGUAGGUUGCCUGAGCAUUCAUCGAACUUAUACUUGGUGAUUUUCAACUACAUUUCUGCAGCAAAAGAAUCUCCCUCAGAUAUCCCUUUUUAGGAAAGAUUGGAAUCAAUAUGACUGUGUAAGAAAAAGUUGGCUUUUUUCCAGUCACUUAGUUUUUCUUGUUUACACCAACGAUUAACUUACAAGCUGUCCAAAUGCAUAGAAUAGAACAAGGAUUUUUGCUACAUCGGAGCCAAGGAGAGCACUAAGAGAUCAUGAAAUACAUUUAUUGAACACAAUGUUAUAAACUUUGCAUUCACUCAAGGGUUGAUAUGCUAGAGAAUGGCAUCCAUGGUGGGUCAGAGCAGGUGACAUCCUUGCUGACAAACAAAGGUAACCUAGUCUUGUCCCAGGCAUACUGGAAAGAGGAAAGUUAAAAAUUCCACGCACAAAUCACCAUCUGUAAUUAUUGCAAAGAUAGGACAACUUCUCACUUGUGAAUUCUAUACUCACAAGUUUUCAUGCUCUUUAAAUUUAUUUGUGAUCCCAAUGCAGUUCUCACAGGACCUUGACAGCUAUUUACAGGCGCACCCAGAGUGGGGAGAUCUGAUUUACAGGAGCACAGGGUCACAGCCGAGGUCUAGCAGAGGGAUGGGCUGUCUUUUUCCCCUGCUGUGCUAUAAACAAGUGUCCUUGUGGUUUAAUUAGUGCUGUGUUUUUCAUAUUUUUGUGUCUUUUCCUGGUGAUUUUGCUGUUUAAAAAAUACCUCAAGCAUGACGCUGAGCGCUGCCUUGUGUUCCUAAGCCCAAGAGGACAGCCGAGUGCCUCACAGAGCAAAACUGCUAAAUCAAGUCCGUCCAGGCAUGAGUCACAGUGUUGCUGGAGAGUGCAGAGUUGACAGUACUCGUCAUUUUUCCUUGAUCUUUUCCUAUGGCUGAAAAAUUCAGGAAAAUUUUACUGGUCACCUGCUAAGGUACCCGGCAGCGGCAGAGGAGAGGCACUGUUUCUCAUAGAGACCUCAGAGCGAUGAGUCCACUGCGGAACGCGGUCUCUGCUCUUUCCUCGGAUACAGAGAAGGAACAAAAGGACUCCCACAGAAGAGGUUGCAGGAGACCAAGAAGAGGGCAUAGUGGGUCCAUAUCUUUGCCAUAGCAAGAACGACACCAGUUAAGAGGUCAGUAACUCUGAAGUUCAGUAACAUAGGCCCAGCAAGCCAUCGUCAGUAAGCCACAAGGCUUCAUACGAAUUAUGCAAGAUUACCCAGGACAUGUAACACUGUUUUUGUGAUUUUACAAAUCAAGCAAUGGAAGCAGAGUCUGAAGAGCUUGCUGGACGUCUCAGUGCCGUGAAUGUCUCCCUGUGCUGGAGGCUAGCCUCAUCCUCCCGCAGUGUCUGUUCCCCCUGGAAAUGAGUCCCUUCCAUGGGGGACCAGUCAAGGGUGUGGUCUGCCAUGGAAACCUGCAGAAACCCUGGUACGAUGUGUGAGAGAUACUUCACCACUGCAGACACCUCCUGCGGUUGGUUCUUUUGCUCGGAGACCCACUUGUUGAUUGCUUUUAACCGAGGUUUUCUAAAUUUCUCUGAGUUCCUUUUUAAGAAGACAAAUGAGGUGUUAGUGAAAACGUGUAUAUUUAAAUAAAAAAGUUAUUACAGUAAAA
Molecule: long non-coding RNA, 2112 nt
Organism: Cavia porcellus (domestic guinea pig)
Lineage: Eukaryota; Metazoa; Chordata; Mammalia; Rodentia; Caviidae
Exons: 2
Source: RefSeq, a predicted model, not a curated record